RNAcentral lists this ribosomal RNA (640 nucleotides) under uncultured bacterium. Its description in RNAcentral is "bacterial SSU rRNA". It matches the Rfam family "Bacterial small subunit ribosomal RNA", at positions 223 to 863 of the family's 1533-position model. The record is from RNAcentral.
AGAUGGGCAUGCGUGUCAUUAGCUAGUUGGUAGGGUAACGGCCUACCAAGGCGACGAUGACUAGGGGAUCUGAGAGGAUAAUCCCCCACACUGGUACUGAGACACGGACCAGACUCCUACGGGAGGCAGCAGUAAGGAAUAUUGGGCAAUGGAGGCAACUCUGACCCAGCCAUGCCGCGUGCAGGAAUAAGGCCCUAUGGGUCGUAAACUGCUUUUGUACGGGAAUAAUUGUCAAUACGAGUAUUGGCUUGAAGGUACCGUAAGAAUAAGGAUCGGCUAACUCCGUGCCAGCAGCCGCGGUAAUACGGAGGAUCCAAGCGUUAUCCGGAUUCACUGGGUUUAAAGGGUGCGUAGGCGGAUUGAUAAGUCAGUGGUGAAAUCCUGCAGCUUAACUGCAGAACUGCCAUUGAUACUGUUAGUCUUGAAUUUGAUUGAAGUGGCUGGAAUGUGUCAUGUAGCGGUGAAAUGCUUAGAUAUGACACAGAACACCGACAGCGAAGGCAGGUCACUAAGUCAACAUUGACGCUGAGGCACGAAAGCGUGGGGAUCAAACAGGAUUAGAUACCCUGGUAGUCCACGCCCUAAACGAUGAUUACUCGUUGUUGGCGAUAUACAGUCAGUGACUGAGCGAAAGCAUUAA